GUCUACGGCCAUGCUGCCCUGAACAUGCCCAGUCACAUCUGAUCUCGGGAGCUAAGCAGAGUCGGCCCUGGUUAGUACUUGUAUGGGAGACCACCUAGGAAGACCGGGUGCUAUAGGCA
RNAcentral lists this ribosomal RNA (119 nucleotides) under Pteropus alecto (black flying fox). The record is from RNAcentral. Lineage: Eukaryota; Metazoa; Chordata; Mammalia; Chiroptera; Pteropodidae.